GCUUAGACGAAUGAAUGCCUCCACCUAAAUCAAGUCCCAGCCCUGCAAAAAUAAGCCAUAAAUCAUGUCGUUAUGCAAUUCCUUUCCCGUAUGCCUAUUCUUGCUUGACCAGACACUUCGAAAGGGAAAAGGCAUAAAGGAAUUUUUCAGUCAAAUGAUGAUGGCAACAAUAAUAGCAUUACAAAAGUAUUAAAUGGGACCAUAUAAAGUAGUUAGCAAACUGAGAAUUGAACCCAGAAACCAAAUAAGCACCCAAAAGAACACAAUAUCUCAAUAACUAGCGAUAAAACUUCUCAUUAAUGUAGGCAACAAAUUCUAAGAGAUUCGUCAUCACCAAAUAAAAACCACUUCCACAAAAAAAAAACAUAAAGAAAAAAAAAGUAGCGAUUUUCAUUGAGCUGAAGCAGAUGGCUCCAUAAUGGGAUUACAACAAAAAAGCUCAGAAGUCAUUAAUUAAACUUGUACAAGGAUUUAGCACAAUUUAAGCCUUGAUAUAUAACAAGACCCUUCCUUGUUCCUUUGAAUGCAUAAAAGUCACGACAUU
Molecule: long non-coding RNA, 544 nt
Organism: Populus euphratica (Euphrates poplar)
Lineage: Eukaryota; Viridiplantae; Streptophyta; Magnoliopsida; Malpighiales; Salicaceae
Exons: 2
Source: RefSeq, a predicted model, not a curated record